RNAcentral lists this ribosomal RNA (305 nucleotides) under uncultured bacterium. RNAcentral describes it as "bacterial SSU rRNA". It matches the Rfam family "Bacterial small subunit ribosomal RNA", at positions 337 to 634 of the family's 1533-position model. The record is from RNAcentral.
GCCUACGGGGGGCAGCAGUAGGGAAUCUUCCACAAUGGGCGAAAGCCUGAUGGAGCAACGCCGCGUGGGUGAAGAAGGUCUUCGGAUCGUAAAACCCUGUUGUUAGAGAAGAAAGUGCGUGAGAGUAACUGUUCACGUUCCGACGGUAUCUAACCAGAAAGCCACGGCUAACUACGUGCCAGCAGCCGCGGUAAUACGUAGGUGGCAAGCGUUAUCCGGAUUUAUUGGGCGUAAAGGGAACGCAGGCGGUCUUUUAAGUCUGAUGUGAAAGCCUUCGGCUUAACCAGAGUAGUGCAUUGGAAACU